AUUGAACGCUGGCGGCAGGCCUAACACAUGCAAGUCGAACGAGUGGCGGACGGGUGAGUAAGGUCUGGGAAACUGCCUGAUGGCGGGGGAUAACUACUGGAAACGGUAGCUAAUACCGCAUACCAUCAAUUGAGCCCAGAUGGGCGGAGCUUGUUGGUGGGGUAACGGCUCACCAAGGCGACGAUCCCUAGCUGGUCUGAGAGGAUGACCAGCCACACUGGAAGUGAGACACGGUCAAAACUCCUACGGGAGGCGGCAGUGGGUAAUAUUGCACAAUGGGCGCACGCCUGAUGCAGACAUGCCGCGUGUAUGAAGAGGGCUUUCGGGUGUUAAAGUACUUUCAGCGGGGAGGCGUUACCCGCAGAAGAAGCACCGGCUAACUACGUGCCAGCAGCCGCGGUAAUAC
This 406-nucleotide ribosomal RNA is filed under the name uncultured bacterium. RNAcentral describes it as "partial 16S ribosomal RNA". It matches the Rfam family "Bacterial small subunit ribosomal RNA", at positions 30 to 526 of the family's 1533-position model. The record is from RNAcentral.